GACGAACGCUGGCGGCGUGCUUAACACAUGCAAGUCGAGCGGUAAGGCCCUUUUGGGGGUACACGAGCGGCGAACGGGUGAGUAACACGUGGGUGACCUGCCCUCAGCUCUGGGAUAAGCCUGGGAAACUGGGUCUAAUACUGGAUAUGACCUUUCCUCGCAUGGGGUUGGGUGGAAAGUUUUUCGGCUGGGGAGUGGGCCCGCGGCCUAUCAGCUUGUUGGUGGGGUGAUGGCCUACCAAGGCGACGACGGGUAGCCGCCUGAGAGGGCGACCGCCACACUGGGACUGAGACACGGCCCAGACUCCUACGGGAGGCAGCAGUGGGGAAUA
RNAcentral lists this ribosomal RNA (331 nucleotides) under uncultured bacterium. RNAcentral's name for it is "bacterial SSU rRNA". It matches the Rfam family "Bacterial small subunit ribosomal RNA", at positions 28 to 363 of the family's 1533-position model. The record is from RNAcentral.